UACGUAGGCGGAAAAUUAAGUCAGUAGUGAAAUCCUGCAGCUCAACUGUAGAAUUGCCUUUGAUACUGGUUAUCUUGAGUCAUUAUGAAGUGGUUAGAAUGUGUAGUGUAGCGGUGAAAUGCAUAGAUAUUACACAGAAUACCGAUUGCGAAGGCAGAUCACUAAUAAUGUACUGACACUGAGGGACGAAAGCGUGGGGAGCGAACAGGAUUAGAUACCCUGGUAGUCC
RNAcentral lists this ribosomal RNA (229 nucleotides) under uncultured bacterium. Its description in RNAcentral is "partial 16S ribosomal RNA". It matches the Rfam family "Bacterial small subunit ribosomal RNA", at positions 568 to 796 of the family's 1533-position model. The record is from RNAcentral.